RNAcentral lists this ribosomal RNA (2757 nucleotides) under Triticum aestivum (bread wheat). RNAcentral describes it as "partial small subunit ribosomal RNA". Lineage: Eukaryota; Viridiplantae; Streptophyta; Magnoliopsida; Poales; Poaceae. The record is from RNAcentral.
AUGGCGCAGUCGGCUGUGAGCACCGUGCUCGGGACCGUGGGCAGUCUUGCAGUCCAGGAGACCACAUUCUUGUGUGCAGUCAACCUUGAAGUGGGGUUGUUGAAAGAUGAACUGAUGAGGCUGAAGGCCUACCUCAAAGAUGUUGAUAGCAAGUGGAGAUCAGGAAAUGCAAGGGUUGCAGUCUUGGUGAGCCAGAUCAGGGAUGCGGCUUAUGAAGCUCAGAACAUCAUUGAAGCUGCAGAUCACAUGGCGAAGAGAAACAGGCUCAAGAAGGGAUUCAUGGGUGCUAUUUCAAGGUAUGCUCGCCUACCGACUGACUUGGUCGCCCUUCGCAAAAUCGGUGUUGAAAUUCAGCAUGUAAGAAGGAAGCUCAAUGAGAUUUUUGCAAGUGCGGAAAAACUGAAUAUUAAUUUGGAUAAUAAUGUUCUAGUUGAGGAUGAGUCUCCACAAGAUGAUGGACCUAUACAUCAAAACUCUGAAGAUGAUGUUGUCAUGGUUGGUUUUGAGGAUGAGCACGAAGAAAUAGUGGACAAGUUAGUUGACAAUGAUUACCUGCUUAGUGUUGUGUCUAUAGUUGCCAUGGGUGGGGCAGGAAAAACAACACUUGCUAGAAAAGUCUACACUUCAUCUAGAGUUAAGGAGCACUUUGACACACUUGCUUGGGUGACUGUAUCUCAAAAGUUCAAGGGUGUUGAUUUACUAAAGGAUAUUAUGAAACAAAUCACAGGGCACAAGGACGAGUCUGUUGACCAAAUGAAAGAGUAUGAGGUGGGAAAGAAUAUUAUGAAACAAAUCACAGGGCACAAGGACGAGUCUGUUGACCAAAUGAAAGAGUAUGAGGUGGGAAAGAAGAUCAAUGAAUUUCUAUCACAAAAAAGGUACCUAGUAGUUCUUGAUGACGUUUGGGAAACAGAUACAUGGGAGAAAUUAAACAGAACGAUUAAAGUCUUUCCAGAUGAAACUAAUAGUAGUAGAGUGCUGUUAACCACACGAAAGGAAGAUGUCGCAAAUCAUGUUCAGAUGCCAACCCAUGUUCAUCAUUUGAAGAAGUUGGAUGAAGAGAAAAGUUGGGAUCUUUUUAGCAGCAAAGCUUUACCACCAUACAAAAGGUAUGCCAUACGUGAUGUGGACGAGUUUGAAAAGCUUGGGAGAAAGCUUGCAAAGAAAUGUGAUGGAUUGCCACUUGCACUUGGAGUUUUGGGAGGUUAUCUGUCUAAAAAUCUAAAUGCACAAAUAUGGUCCGAUAUACUCUCUGAUUGGCCAGCAACCAAGGAUGGACAAAUGAUGAGUGUCAUACUGGCACGCAGUUACAAGGACCUACCGAAUCAUCAUUUGAGAUCUUGUUUACUUUAUUUUGCUGCUUUUCCUGAGGAUUAUGAAAUACAUGUGCCGCAUCUUAUUGAGUUGUGGAUAGCAGAAAGUUUCAUUCCAGAUACACCAAACCAUACACUAGAAGAAACAGCACGGAGCUAUGUAAUCGAGUUGGCUCAGAGAAGCUUGGUCCAAGUUGUUGACAGAAGUACGACACAUGGAUGGAUAGACAGAAUAAGGAUUCACGAUAUCUUGCAUGACUGGUGCAUACAAGAAGCAAGACAAGAUGUUUUUCUUGAUACCAGCAACAAAACUGUAGACCAAGCUGGUGCAUCAUCAUCAUCAUCUGAUAACUUGAUAUCUUAUCGUUUUAGUUUUCAAACUUCGAGUUAUCAGAUUUUACCUGCGACACCUAAUGUCCGAAGUUUGCUUGGCUUUAAACUCUCAUCAGUGUCCCUUCCUAAGCUGAGAUUCCUGAGAGUUCUUUGCAUUGAAGAUUCAACACUAAAAGACUUCUCCAGUGUAAUUGGUAGGUGCAUUCACCUAAGAUUGCUUAGGUUGAGAUAUUGUGAAGGUGUGGCGCUCCCUUCUUCAAUUGGAAAACUCCUUUACUUGCAGACAAUAGAUCUAAGGGGCACAAUAUUGGAGUCAGUAGUACCGAACUCUCUCUGGGAUAUCCCUACUCUAAGGCAUGUUUACCUUCGCAAUUGUUUUUUUUCUCCACCGCCACCUGCAAGGAGUGUGCGACUGCAGCCGAAAGAGCUACAGAGCUUUGCGUUGCUUCUUGAUCCUGUUGGCACUGAUUUCCGCUGUCAUGACAUGAUGAUUUUCUUGGGCCAGCUGAAUCAAUUGACAACCUUCUGCUUGUUUAUGCACCCCAAUAUACCAGCCGAGGUGCUCAACAUAUUUGCAAACAUGCCUCACCUGGUCGAUAUUAGUCUCGGCCAAUUUGAUGUGCUCGAUAAGCUGCCUGCCGAGUUCCCACAAAGCGUACGCUCUCUUUUUCUAUCUGCUGAUGUCAUAAAACAAGACCCGAUGCCCAUCCUGGAGAAGCUUCCCUGUCUUGUGGUGUUGAGGUUGUGGGGGUACAAAGGCCAGACCAUGUGCUGCUCUUCCCAAGGGUUCCCUCGGCUGCAAGAGUUAUUACUUGGUAGUUUUUCCACCGAGGUGUGGAGGAUGGAGGAAGGGGCAAUGCCAAAGCUCUCCCACCUGACACUUCAGUCCUGCAAGAAGAUCAGCAAGCUUCCCGUGGGGUUGCUGCACCUUCCGUCUCUCGAUCACCUGGAGCUGGCCUUUAUGACCCAGAUUUCUGAAGAUGACAUCACACUAAAUGAGCUGCGGCGGAAAGGAUGCGAGGUAUACAUACAUAUACGCAGCUUAGGCAUAGUUAAUUUGCCACACCUUAUGAGCACGCUUUGUUUACUGCAGAUCUGUGGGGCGCGAUGA